GCUUUAAAUAUGGAAUGAGAUGUCUCAUUAACAAACCAGAUAACAAAUUAAUUGUAUGUUUCCAAAAAUUUUAGGGGCUUAACAAAACAUUGCCAUCAAUAUAAUUACAAAGUAUUUUUCUCUUUUCCUUUUCAUAAGAGAAACAAUAACAUCCAAUUGAUGGGAAAAUAACUUGAAACCAUAAAAUAUCUUAUUUGUAAUACUUGAAACCUUUCGAUAUCCCUUCCAUAAGCUUGAGCUCUUCAGCCAUGAAGUAGGUCUGCAUCAACAGGCAACGGCUCACGACCUGACCAAUCUUUAUACCGUGAAGGGAACACAAAA
This 321-nucleotide long non-coding RNA is filed under the name Durio zibethinus. RNAcentral's name for it is "long non-coding RNA (DZIB_LNC001910)". The record is from RNAcentral. Lineage: Eukaryota; Viridiplantae; Streptophyta; Magnoliopsida; Malvales; Malvaceae.